Molecule: ribosomal RNA, 434 nt
Filed under: uncultured Lachnospiraceae bacterium
Lineage: Bacteria; Bacillati; Bacillota; Clostridia; Lachnospirales; Lachnospiraceae
Description: partial 16S ribosomal RNA
Rfam family: Bacterial small subunit ribosomal RNA
Source: RNAcentral
ACGGAAGGCAGCAGUGGGGAAUAUUGCACAAUGGGCGAAAGCCUGAUGCAGCGACGCCGCGUGAGUGAAGAAGUAUCUCGGUAUGUAAAGCUCUAUCAGCAGGGAAGAAAAUGACGGUACCUGACUAAGAAGCCCCGGCUAACUACGUGCCAGCAGCCGCGGUAAUACGUAGGGGGCAAGCGUUAUCCGGAUCUACUGGGUGUAAAGGGAGCGUAGACGGUUUGGCAAGUCUGAAGUGAAAUGCGGGGGCUCAACUCCUGAACUGCUUUGGAAACUGUCGAACUAGAGUGCAGGAGAGGUAAGUGGAAUUCCUAGUGUAGCGGUGAAAUGCGUAGAUAUUAGGAGGAACACCAGUGGCGAAGGCGGCUUACUGGACUGUAACUGACGUUGAGGCUCGAAAGCGUGGGGAGCAAACAGGAUUAGAUACCCUGGUA